UAUGAUAGGCUACCAGUGAAAAAAGGAAAAGCAGUAUCGAUAAUGAAGGAUAAUGUAACAAUGAAACAAUAGAAAUGGUUUUUCAGAUUUAUUUUACUUUGGUUUGAAUCUUCAUACGAGAAAGACAUGGUUGGAGAUUAAUAACGUGUAGGACAGCCACAGACAUACAUUACUAGACUGGCAAUACCCUAUACAGUAUCACUGACUGAAGCCAGCACUUUAAUACAGCGAUGUGGCGGCGAGAGCAAACUGCAUGUAAACAGCUACAUAUUUACUGAUAAAAUACUCGUAAUAAAUGGUGAUAAACUGAUAUAACUACGUUAUCUUCAGAGUUCUGACAAAAUGGUUAAUAGAUACGUCGCGUUUGGUUGUAAUUUCUCG
This is a long non-coding RNA of Schistocerca americana (American grasshopper), 381 nucleotides long. RefSeq lists it as uncharacterized. NCBI's taxonomy places the organism in Eukaryota, Metazoa, Arthropoda, Insecta, Orthoptera, Acrididae. The transcript is spliced from 3 exons. The record is from RefSeq and is a predicted model, not a curated record.